Molecule: long non-coding RNA, 795 nt
Organism: Spodoptera frugiperda (fall armyworm)
Lineage: Eukaryota; Metazoa; Arthropoda; Insecta; Lepidoptera; Noctuidae
Exons: 2
Source: RefSeq, a predicted model, not a curated record
CGACCAAGCAAUACCAGGCUAUAAACUUAACGAUUCGUAUGAAAUACGUUUAAUUUUUUGUUCAACCGAAAUCAUUAACUAAUUACCUACGUCGUUGUAUCUGGGGGAAACACAUAAUAAUGAAAACAUGACAAAAUUCAACAAAAAAAAAACAAUUUACGCAAUAAUAUGCCAAUUUACGAUCGCAUGUUAAUAAGAGAAAUGACACAAGAUGUAAAUACAAAUUAUGUUUGAGGAAAAGCUUGAUUUUUAUUUUGCCUCAAAUUAUCCUGUUCAGGUAGAUACCUAACAAAGAAACAAUAACCAGUUUAUGACAUACUUGAAUACCUACAUACGUUACUAGAGUAUAUAUACGGAGCGACACUGGUGAAGCUUCACAGUUGACACAUCUUCGUCUCGACAUCAAGUACUACAAUGGCUCUCCUCAAGACUACCUUUGUGCUGCUCCUCAUUGCCUUCGCGAUGUUGGCCUCCGUCGGCGCCGUCCGUGUGGGCCCCUGCGACCAGGUCUGCUCCCGCAUCGACGCUGAGAAGGACGAGUGCUGCAGGGCCCACGGGUACAGCGGGUACAACAGCUGCCGAGGCGGUAGAAUGGACUGUUACUGAUGAUGACUACAACUUUGCUGGUAGUGGAGCCCUUUCAUAGACACAAAAUUUGUGUUUAGGCAAUUUCAAUAGUUUCGGAAUCAUAUUUUUUUUAUUAACCUGUUUCUGUCUAUAAAUACGUUCAAAUACGUUCACAUUCAAAAUUGUAAAUAUCACCUAAUUGUUAUAAAUAAAUUUUACUAACUCAAA